GUGAGUUGCUGAUGAUUCUUUCAGACUGAAAGGAAUCAUAAUUCUUUCUAACUCUGCAAUCUUUUUGAUCAGUGGUUAGCUGCAGCAAACUGAAAGACACAGAGUGGAUAUCGCGGCAGGAUCCCUUCGUCUGCCUUGAAUACGCCACGACGAAGUUCCGCACCAGGACCUGCACAGGUACUUAGGAUCAAUUGUGUGUUGGUGAUUUCUUUGGGAGAUUUGUUUGAGAUUGAACAACAAUGUAUGCAGAUGGAGGCAGGAACCCUUGCUUUCAGGAAAAGACUAUGAUUCCCCUCAUCGAAGGCCUCCGCGAGAUCAGCGUCGGUGUCUGGAACAGCAACACCAUCACCUACGACGACUUCAUCGGCAGUGGCAGGUAAAUAAAUAUUCACUUUUCUACUGAACUUUCUUUUAAAAGGAAAACAGAAUCAAAACCUAAUUCAAUGUUUCAAUGUUCUAACCUCAGGGUCCAGCUGCAGAGGGUCCUCUCUCAAGGCUAUGAUGACUCUUCUUGGUCACUCCAAUCUAAAUCUGGAAAGUAAGACCUCCAAGCCUCUCAAAUCUAGCUAUCAUCCCAAUUCUUCUCUUGAUGCAUGACUGAUUCCCCUCGCUGCAAUCUCUCCUCCACAGGUACGCUGGCGAGGUAAAACUCAUCAUGCAUUAUGCAAAUGCAGGCAAAGCACAAGUAAUUCCUAUCUCUACUCGAACUAUAAUUUCAUGAUCAGUCAAUGCAUGCAGACAACAAACCUGAAGCCAUAAUUUCUUAUUGGCAGAAACCUUCCAAGGCUGAAGCUCCAAUGAUGGGCUAUGCACUGACUGCUCCUGUGUACAAUCCAGC
RNAcentral lists this long non-coding RNA (838 nucleotides) under Elaeis guineensis (African oil palm). RNAcentral describes it as "long non-coding RNA (EGUI_LNC017975)". Lineage: Eukaryota; Viridiplantae; Streptophyta; Magnoliopsida; Arecales; Arecaceae. The record is from RNAcentral.